AGCGAACGCUGGCGGCAGGCCUAACACAUGCAAGUCGAGCGCCGUAGCAAUACGGAGCGGCAGACGGGUGAGUAACGCGUGGGAACGUACCUUUCGGUUCGGAAUAACUCAGGGAAACUUGAGCUAAUACCGAAUACGUCCGUAAGGAGAAAGAUUUAUCGCCGAAAGAUCGGCCCGCGUAAGAUUAGCUAGUUGGUGAGGUAACGGCUCACCAAGGCUAUGAUCUUUAGCUGUUCNGAGAGGAAGAUCAGCCACACUGGGAC
RNAcentral lists this ribosomal RNA (263 nucleotides) under uncultured bacterium. Its description in RNAcentral is "partial 16S ribosomal RNA". It matches the Rfam family "Bacterial small subunit ribosomal RNA", at positions 29 to 319 of the family's 1533-position model. The record is from RNAcentral.